UACGAGUGCCUCAAGCGUUAUCCGGAAUCACUGGGCGUAAAGGGUGCGUAGGCGGGUCUUUAAGUCAGGGGUGAAAUCCUGGAGCUCAACUCCAGAACUGCCUUUGAUACUGAAGAUCUUGAGUUCGGGAGAGGUGAGUGGAACUGCGAGUGUAGAGGUGAAAUUCGUAGAUAUUCGCAAGAACACCAGUGGCGAAGGCGGCUCACUGGCCCGAUACUGACGCUGAUGCACGAAAGCGUGGGGAGCAAACAGG
This 253-nucleotide ribosomal RNA is filed under the name uncultured bacterium. RNAcentral's name for it is "partial 16S ribosomal RNA". It matches the Rfam family "Bacterial small subunit ribosomal RNA", at positions 524 to 776 of the family's 1533-position model. The record is from RNAcentral.